GACGUAGGAGGCGAGCGUUAUCCGGAUUCACUGGGCGUAAAGCGUGCGCAGGCGGUUGGCCGGGUCCGAUGUGAAAGCCCCGGGCUUAACCUGGGAAUGGCAUUGGAAACUGGCUGGCUGGAGUGUGGCAGAGGGGGGUGGAAUUCCACGUGUAGCGGUGAAAUGCGUAGAGAUGUGGAGGAACACCAGUGGCGAAGGCGACUCUUUGGCCUGUAACUGACGCUGAGGCGCGAAAGCGUGGGGAGCAAACAGG
Molecule: ribosomal RNA, 253 nt
Filed under: uncultured bacterium
Lineage: Bacteria
Description: partial 16S ribosomal RNA
Rfam family: Bacterial small subunit ribosomal RNA
Source: RNAcentral